This 402-nucleotide ribosomal RNA is filed under the name uncultured bacterium. RNAcentral describes it as "bacterial SSU rRNA". It matches the Rfam family "Bacterial small subunit ribosomal RNA", at positions 355 to 774 of the family's 1533-position model. The record is from RNAcentral.
UCGGGAAUUUUGGGCAAUGGGCGAAAGCCUGACCCAGCAACGCCGCGUGAGGGAUGAAGUAUUUCGGUAUGUAAACCUCGAAAGAAUGGGAAGAAUAAAUGACGGUACCAUUUAUAAGCUCCGGCUAACUACGUGCCAGCAGCCGCGGUAAUACGUAGGGAGCAAGCGUUGUUCGGAUUUACUGGGCGUAAAGGGCGCGUAGGCGGCGCGGUAAGUCACUUGUGAAAUCUCUGAGCUUAACUCAGAACAGCCAAAUGAUACUGCUGUGCUAGAGUGCGGAAGAGGCAACCGGAAUUCUUGGUGUAGCGGUGAAAUGCGUAGAUAUCAAGAGGAACACCUGAGGCGAAGGCGGGUUGCUGGGCCGACACUGACGCUGAUGCGCGAAAGCCAGGGGAGCAAACG